RNAcentral lists this ribosomal RNA (496 nucleotides) under uncultured bacterium. Its description in RNAcentral is "partial 16S ribosomal RNA". It matches the Rfam family "Bacterial small subunit ribosomal RNA", at positions 30 to 523 of the family's 1533-position model. The record is from RNAcentral.
AUUGAACGCUGGCGGAAUGCUUUACACAUGCAAGUCGAACGGUAGAGGGGGCAACCCCUCGAGAGUGGCGAACGGGUGAGUAAUAUAUCGGAACGUGCCCAGUCGUGGGGGAUAACGUAGUGAAAAUUACGCUAAUACCGCAUACGAUCUAAGGAUGAAAGCGGGGGAUCGCAAGACCUCGCGCGAUUGGAGCGGCCGAUAUCAGAUUAGGUAGUUGGGAGGGUAAAGGCCUACCAGGCCAACGAUCUGUAGCUGGUCUGAGAGGACGACCAGCCACACUGGAAUUGAGACACGGUCCAGACUCCUACGGGAGGCAGCAGUGGGGAAUUUUGGACAAUGGGCGAAAGCCUGAUCCAGCCAUUCCGCGUGCAGGAUGAAGGCCCUCGGGUUGUAAACUGCUUUUGUACAGAACGAAAAGGCCUCUAUUAAUACUAGGGGCUCAUGACGGUACUGUAAGAAUAAGCACCGGCUAACUACGUGCCAGCAGCCGCAGUAA